This 447-nucleotide ribosomal RNA is filed under the name uncultured bacterium. RNAcentral describes it as "bacterial SSU rRNA". It matches the Rfam family "Bacterial small subunit ribosomal RNA", at positions 355 to 825 of the family's 1533-position model. The record is from RNAcentral.
UGGGGAAUCUUGGACAAUGGGCGCAAGCCUGAUCCAGCCAUGCCGCGUGGAUGAUGAAGGCCUUAGGGUUGUAAAAUCCUUUCGUGGGGGACGAUAAUGACGGUACCCCAAGAAGAAGCUCCGGCUAACUUCGUGCCAGCAGCCGCGGUAAUACGAAGGGGGCUAGCGUUGUUCGGAUUUACUGGGCGUAAAGCGCGUGUAGGCGGGUCGUUAAGUUGGGGGUGAAAUCCCGAGGCUCAACCUCGGAACUGCCUUCAAAACUGGCGACCUGGACUCAAGCAGAGGCAAGUGGAAUUGCGAGUGUAGAGGUGAAAUUCGUAGAUAUUCGCAGGAACACCAGUGGCGAAGGCGACUUGCUGGGCUUGUAGUGACGCUGAGACGCGAAAGCGUGGGGAGCAAACAGGAUUAGAUACCCACGUAGUCCCUGAGCGGGCUGGCAAGGCGCAU